Molecule: long non-coding RNA, 867 nt
Organism: Myotis brandtii (Brandt's bat)
Lineage: Eukaryota; Metazoa; Chordata; Mammalia; Chiroptera; Vespertilionidae
Exons: 3
Source: RefSeq, a predicted model, not a curated record
UUUAUCAGUCAAUCCUGCUCCAUUCCUUCCUGGCAGAGUUCAUGAAACACUCAAGGAGUUGUGGGUAAAUGAUGAUUCUGUCUUCAAACAAGGAUCUGUGCGACCUUCCAAAGAACUCGGAAUGUCUUUCAUCACAGAAGGAAAAGUGCUGUGGCCUAUUUUUGAGAUGAUUUAUGGUACUUGGAGAUGAGCUUUGUGUGUCUAGCCUUCGGCCGGCAUUCAUUGACUUCCCCAGCACCUGGGAUGCUGCAAUUGCUGAAGAAAUGUUUGUUGAUAACACCCAUCCACAUGACUAUAAAGAGAGCUGAAAACUCUUCACAUUAAGUCCACAUUACUGCAACUCAUUUCUUGUUUAAUGAGUUAUUCCGGAGGAAGGGCAGUAGUGCCUGUCAAAAAAAUUAAAAGGACUUAGCAUAAAAGCUGGGUGGCAUGUUGACCACAACCACACAGAAACGAGUAAUGAAAGGAGGCAGGAGAGAAAGACGAAGCCCUGCUGGGGGCCUCGGCCGGCACAUGUGCACUCAGCUUCCCUUGCCUGCAUGUGGUGUGCAGCGGGCUGCCUUUGGUUGGUGUCUGGCUGGUGGUGGAGGAUGCCAGGAAAGUGUGAAAAGCCUUAUAAAUGUGUCCUCUGAACAUCGCUGACAAGCAACUGGACUGCAGCUCUCCCAUCUGCCUCUGGCAGGGCUGCCGUCAGCCUUCCAAGUCCAGGAGAGCAGCUGUGUGAUAAAUCACUCAGCGGCCCAAGGAAGUCCAAGUGUUUUCUCAUGGUGAAGAGGCGGCUGCCCUCCAGGUGUGGUGUCUGUGGAAGAGGAACGAGUCCUCUUGAGCAGCCUCAUGCAGGGAAUUAAGUAAAGGCUUAGGAAGGGU